This 253-nucleotide ribosomal RNA is filed under the name uncultured bacterium. RNAcentral's name for it is "partial 16S ribosomal RNA". It matches the Rfam family "Bacterial small subunit ribosomal RNA", at positions 524 to 776 of the family's 1533-position model. The record is from RNAcentral.
UACGAAGGGGGCUAGCGUUGCUCGGAAUCACUGGGCGUAAAGGGCGCGUAGGCGGCCAUUCAAGUCGGGGGUGAAAGCCCAGGGCUCAACCCUGGAAUUGCCUUCGAUACUGUUUGGCUAGAGACCGGAAGAGGUUAGUGGAACUGCGAGUGUAGAGGUGAAAUUCGUAGAUAUUCGCAAGAACACCAGUGGCGAAGGCGGCUCACUGGCUCGAUACUGACGCUGAGGUGCGAAAGCGUGGGGAGCAAACAGG